AGAGAGGGAGCUUGCUUCCUUGAUCGAGUGGCGAACGGGUGAGUAACGCGUGAGGAACCUGCCUCAAAGAGGGGGACAACAGUUGGAAACGACUGCUAAUACCGCAUAAGCCCACGGUGCCGCAUGGCACAGAGGGAAAAGGAGCAAUCCGCUUUGAGAUGGCCUCGCGUCCGAUUAGCUAGUUGGUGAGGUAACGGCCCACCAAGGCGACGAUCGGUAGCCGGACUGAGAGGUUGAACGGCCACAUUGGGACUGAGACACGGCCCAGACUCC
RNAcentral lists this ribosomal RNA (273 nucleotides) under uncultured Faecalibacterium sp. Its description in RNAcentral is "partial 16S ribosomal RNA". It matches the Rfam family "Bacterial small subunit ribosomal RNA", at positions 69 to 339 of the family's 1533-position model. Lineage: Bacteria; Bacillati; Bacillota; Clostridia; Eubacteriales; Oscillospiraceae. The record is from RNAcentral.